GGGGAAUUUUGGACAAUGGGCGCAAGCCUGAUCCAGCCAUUCCGCGUGCAGGAUGAAGGCCUUCGGGUUGUAAACUGCUUUUGUACGGAACGAAACGGCCUGUCCUAAUACGAUGGGCUAAUGACGGUACCGUAAGAAUAAGCACCGGCUAACUACGUGCCAGCAGCCGCGGUAAUACGUAGGGUGCAAGCGUUAAUCGGAAUUACUGGGCGUAAAGCGUGCGCAGGCGGUUAUAUAAGACAGAUGUGAAAUCCCCGGGCUCAACCUGGGAACUGCAUUUGUGACUGUAUAGCUAGAGUACGGCAGAGGGGGAUGGAAUUCCGCGUGUAGCAGUGAAAUGCGUAGAUAUGCGGAGGAACACCGAUGGCGAAGGCAAUCCCCUGGGCCUGUACUGACGCUCAUGCACGAAAGCGUGGGGAGCAAAC
RNAcentral lists this ribosomal RNA (425 nucleotides) under uncultured bacterium. RNAcentral's name for it is "bacterial SSU rRNA". It matches the Rfam family "Bacterial small subunit ribosomal RNA", at positions 356 to 773 of the family's 1533-position model. The record is from RNAcentral.